This 143-nucleotide ribosomal RNA is filed under the name uncultured eukaryote. RNAcentral's name for it is "partial 18S ribosomal RNA". It matches the Rfam family "Eukaryotic small subunit ribosomal RNA", at positions 1299 to 1458 of the family's 1831-position model. The record is from RNAcentral.
UGGUGGAGCGAUUUGUCUGGUCAAUUCCGAUAACGAACGAGACUCUGGCCUACUAAAUAGUUCGGGGACCCCCACAAAGGGGCCCCGCUUCAACUUCUUAGAGGGACAGGUGGCGUUUAGCCACACGAGAUUGAGCAAUAACA